CAGCCGCCGCGGUAAAACGGAGGGUGCAAGCGUUAAUCGGAAUUACUGGGCGUAAAGCGCACGCAGGCGGUCUGACAAGUCAGAUGUGAAAUCCCCGGGCUUAACCUGGGAACUGCAUUUGAAACUGUCAGGCUGGAGUCUUGUAGAGGGGGGUGGAAUUCCAGGUGUAGCGGUGAAAUGCGUAGAGAUCUGGAGGAAUACCGGUGGCGAAGGCGGCCCCCUGGACAAAGACUGACGCUCAGGUGCGAAAGCGUGGGGAGCAAACAGGAUUAGAUACCCCGGUAGUCCCUGUCUCUUAUAC
RNAcentral lists this ribosomal RNA (301 nucleotides) under uncultured bacterium. Its description in RNAcentral is "partial 16S ribosomal RNA". It matches the Rfam family "Bacterial small subunit ribosomal RNA", at positions 509 to 807 of the family's 1533-position model. The record is from RNAcentral.